This is a long non-coding RNA of Condylura cristata (star-nosed mole), 463 nucleotides long. RefSeq lists it as uncharacterized. The record is from RefSeq and is a predicted model, not a curated record. NCBI's taxonomy places the organism in Eukaryota, Metazoa, Chordata, Mammalia, Eulipotyphla, Talpidae. The transcript has 4 exons.
CCCCGCUCGGCCGGGAGCCCACGUGGACUCCUGCGUUACCCACUCCGCUUUAAAAAUCUGAAGACCAGAUGUCCAGACACAAGACAUUCAGACUUCCCAAAUUCCCGGGGCAGAACUGGUUCAUCUGAGGCUCUUCAGCAGACACUCACCCUGCCUGUCCCCCAGCUUCUUUCUGAUGGUGGCCCACAUGCCUUGCCGUACAGAAGUUCCUGUGAGAGGAAUAAAAAAGCCCAUGGCUCUUGGCAUCGCCUGGAACCAACGCGAAGCUCCUCUCGGCACACGCGACCUGCGAGCGCGAGCCUAGUAUGUUUGGGUUUACUGAAAACUAUCCAGAAGGACAGCAAGCAUGCCUUCUCUCCUUCCUCCCUCCUGGGGCUGGUGAGCCUUUGAAAAGGCCUUGGCUGCUGAUGGCUGUUGUGGGAGCCCUUGAGAAGAGCCAGAGGCAAUUCAGAGAGAAAGGAAG